This 403-nucleotide ribosomal RNA is filed under the name uncultured bacterium. RNAcentral's name for it is "partial 16S ribosomal RNA". It matches the Rfam family "Bacterial small subunit ribosomal RNA", at positions 28 to 526 of the family's 1533-position model. The record is from RNAcentral.
GACGAACGCUGGCGGCGUGCCUAAUACAUGCAAGUCGAACGCAGGGGGGACGGGGGAGUAACACGUGGGUAACCUCCCAUCAGAGGGGAUAACACUUGGAAACAGGUGCUAAACCGAUACUGAUGGAUGGACCCGCGGUGCAUUAGCAAGUUGGUGAGGUAACGGCUCACCAAGGCCACGAUGCAUAGCGGAGCUGAGAGUGUGAUCGGCCAACUUGUGACUGAGACACGGCCCAGAUUCCUACGGGAGGCAGCAGUAGGGAAUCUGCGGCAAUGGACGAAAGUCUGACCGAGCAACGCCGCGUGAGUGAAGAAGGUUUGCGGAUCGUAAAGCCCUGUUGUUAGAGAAGCGGUAUCUAACCAGAAAGCAACGGCUAACUACGUGCCAGCAGCCGCGGUAAUAC